CUCGGCGGCUGAAGGGGGAGGCAGCGCAGCGGAGCCUGCAGAGAGCGAGAGCUUCGCCCGCACCCGCCGCCACCGAACCACCGCCACCCCGGCACCGCCGCCAUGGUGCUCCGCACCGUCGUCACGCACGCGAAGAAGCACCCGGCCUUGAUUCCUCUGUUUGUGAUCAUUGGAUGUGGAGGUGUUGGUGCAAGCCUGUAUCUUAUGCGUUUGGCGAUGUUCAACCCUGAUGUUAGUUGUUCUCGAUUAAUAUGGACUACAGUAGACUGAAAAAGGAUCGUCCUGACUUCUAAAAACACAACAAUGUCUGUAAGCUGGACAGAAAGGUCUUCCGGAAGCUGUUCGCACAAGUGUCAUGUUUAAUCAUCCAGGAAAUAAUUAAAUUUGCUUCACACAGCACCAGGUCAUGUGUUUGAAACUGUUUUGACGAGGCUUAAUAAACGUUUAAAACUUGAAGUGUCUGCUCUUUCAUUUUGCAAAAUGACAACAUCCUCCUAUUAACAGUUUCUGCUGUAUGGUUUGUCAGUAAGCAAAAGCCAUUUCAUGUUUCCUUGACAAGAAAGCAAAGUUGUUGUGGUUGGCCUUAUGCUCAGUGUGUUGAUCUCAGAAUAAUAACUGCAUGCUCAUGCAGUUAUACCAAACUUCAAAAACUUGAAAGCAUGUAUUUAUAUAUAUGCAUAAAUAUUUUUUAAUAUACCUGAAUUUAUCUACUUGCCACUUUAAGAAGUUUUGAUUGCAGAAAAGUUAAUGCCAGCAAGUCAUUAUCCAUCAGGGAGGGAGCAGAUGUUGCCAUAUGUUGCUGGAAGGAAGGAAAAAAACAGACUGUGCUCUCCAAAAGUUUUUGUUCCUUUCUUUUUUCUCUUCUAGUUAAGCAGGGUUUUUUUUUAAUUAAACAGAAAGACAACUUUCAAUAUUUAAAAAAUCAAAUUCUACAAACAUUGUCAAGAUUUCCUGUGGAUCACAGAUUUAAGGAAGGGAAGCACAUAGCUGAUGAGGGUACAGGUUUUGGGAAAUAAUUAGCUAUUCAUGUAAGAACAAAAACACGUUUUAGAAAGGGCAAAAUCUUGCACUUUAGUAUCUGGCUGAGUAUUGCUAUUGACUUAGUCUUGCUAUGGGAGGACAAAGAAAGUAUCUUUGCAAGUCUGUAACUUAUGGUAGGUUCUUUGUGCUUUACUGUGAACAUCUGGCACUUUGGAUAAGGGGUAUUAAUUCUGGGCUGUCUGACAGAGUACAGCUGUUCUUAUCUUGAUAAUCUCUGCUUAAAGUUGACUCCAAGAAUGUAGAUAGCCAUACCAACUAUUACAAGUAAUAAAGGCAAUUCAAGCAGCAAGAACUUAGAGAAGAAAAUUAUUCUGUGGUAAUUGGAAAAUAACGGAUAUUUGCAAAGACGUAUUUUAUAUGGAACAGCCUUGUAGGUAAAAUUGUCAUUUAUUUGGUAACAGUUCAGAUUAUCCUUUUAUUAUGUACUGAACCGGUGGAUUCACUCAGUUUUCAUUUGCUUGAAAGGCUCUCAUGAAGUCUGAAUAAGAAAAUGAGUAUUAUGACAUGAGACAUUAUUACAGUGGUGAGCAAAGCCCAUAGGUGUCCUUGUGGAAUGGUUCCUCUGGAUCCAAAUAGAACUGUUGCAACACUUUUGUUCAGUUUUAAAAGUAUGUUGUGUAAAAAUGGGAAUUGUGUUUUAUAGCUUGGUAGUUGGCAAUUCAUUUGAAUUUUAUCUCUUCAAAUACAGAUUCUCUGGACAUUAAAAAAGACCAAUAUCCAGGAAGUAAACCCAAUUCCUAGGGUGGAUAAGGUUAUUCCUUUUGUGCACAGCUGACAAAAGCAUAGGCUCAUGUCUUCCUUAAUAAAGGCACUUCAAUGUAUAUUUCAAAUAUAUUUAACAAGUGCUUAAGCUAAGUAAAUCUUUAAAUAUAAAUAGACUAGAAAACAAAAGGCAAUUAAUUCAGUGUUACUUGUCUUUGCCCAUUACAGCAUACUUGCUCCUAAAAGUACAUAAAACUUAAGAUUUUCUAAGUUUAAUUAUUCUAGAAGUUGUUGUCCUGAGGGGACACUUUCUCCUUUUUCUUGUAGGGAUAUACUUUAUCCUGUGUUAAAUGUAGUGGGCAAUAGUCACCAUUAUUUGCCAAUUUUAAGAGUAAUUUAUAAGAACCUUCCUGCCUUCCUGCCUUCCUGCCUUCCUGCCUUCCUGCCUUCCUGCCUUCCUGCCUGCCUGCCUCCCUCCCUUCCCUCCCUCUCUCCCUCCAUUUUUCUAGGGUAUUUUGAAAGACAGCCAGCAUGGCAAUAAUUUGUCUGUAUUAAAAUAUUCAAGGACUUCUUUAAAACAAUCACCUACGUCUUUCUUCAUUAAUCCAAAGAUAGAAUUCCCUGAAGACAGCGUGAGGAAGUGACUGCAGUUUGGAUUCUUAGAAUUACAUCUUACAUUUACUUUUGGCUAUUAACUCUUAUGAAACAAUGAAAUCCCAUCAUUAGUAGGAAAAGUGAAAUCCUUCAUUAAUGCCAUGUCUUGUAAUUUUGUUUGAGCAGAUGAUGUGUUAUCUGAAAGAGGCUGAUAUUCUGCUGUCUUAGAUUUCAUCUGGACACAGGCACUUGAUUUUGCGGCACAUUUUUUUUGAAUGGUCAGUGUGCACCUGGUCUUAAUGUCCUUUUCAUGAGCCACAUACAGAAGAGUCCUCUUAUUUUUGCAUUGAAGCAUUGUGCAUGCUACAGCAUUGCGCUUGCAUCAGAUUUCUGUUAACAGAGUUAUUCUGUGCCUCCUUAUCAGUGAUCCUGAUUAUGCAGCAGAGUGAUUAAAUCUGAAAUUAAUUCUGCCCAUCUAGGAUAGAAAGACUUACAGGUUUCUGUAGCUCUGGCACAUGAACACAUAUUCUAUACAGCAUGUUCAACAUUUUUUUAUUUGCCUACAGUAAGGAAAGCUCCUUGUUGGUAUAAAAUAUCUAGCUGCCUCUAAGAAAUUAGAAGGGUUUGCCUGAUAUUAAAAGAAUAAUUUAAAUUUUUUGUGGGAUUUAUAGGCAAAUGUCAUCUAAGGAAUACAUUUCAGAUCUGUUUUCAACCUCUGCCUUACAUUUAUAGUUAGUUUGGUGCAUGACUAUUGAAUGACCUUUAAAAUAAAGAAAUGUAUGUUAAAUGCUGAUUCACUAGUAAUACUUGGUCAGGAAGAAAGAUUGAGAGGUUAUGACAGGAAUUUUAUAAAUGUAUCUUGAAUGAUCUAAUUUAAAAAAAUUAGAGAUGUGCAGGUGCAGACUGAGUUACUGACUGCCCAGCCUUACUAUGGAUGCAACUGGAUGAGCUGUAGAACCACUUCUUCAGUACAAAGUGGAGCACAACAGGUCUGUUACAACUACAGAAAAGAGGUGUUCAUUAGCAUCAUUGCCACAGAAGGUUUUUUUAAUAUUACUUAAUAGAAGACUUACUCUUCAGUCCUCUCUUUUGAAAUCCAGAAGUUGGUCGACUUGAUGCUCUUGUGACCCAUUCACUUUUCCUUAGAAGUGGUCUUGACAUCAGUAUUUAGCCAUGAGAAAUUUCUGUGAAGCUCAAAUGAUUUCAUAUGCUCCUCUGAUCUUUAAGCUCCUUAAGACAGUCUCUGGACACUGCUAUGAUGUCAUAUUUCUCAAAUAUGUGCUGAUUCUGGUGCUGUGAAGUUUGGAAGAAAUAUUUUGGGCUUUGGGAUUUUUUUUCAAGAAUUUCCAAGUGCUAUUAUCUGGUUGGUCAGGCUUAACACUUUAUAAGUAAGGAUGACAUGAGCCAGUACAAUGCAAGAAGAUACAAAUCUCCUCCAUUCUUAAGAAGCAAAUCCAUUUUUAGCAUCCAGAAUAAUGUUUAUCUGAACUAGAAAAAUAAUUUGCAUUUUUUUUUGUUUGUUUUUCUCCUUUUUGGAAGUUUCAUUUAAAUGAAAAAAUAAUGUUUAGACUUUCUAAGCUAACUUUCUAAGCCAAUUCUCACAGUUACAAGGUGAAGAGGCUAGGAGAUCAACACACUUUAAUUUUCUUUUCUGUUUUCAGUCAGAAUCAGUGAUGCUUUAGGUAAUGUGAAAUGUGACCAUAAGUAUGCUAGUAAAGGCAAAAAAAAUGUAUUCAAACUUUUGAUAGUUUACUAUCAGCAUUUACCUGACAUUCAUUUGCUAAUAGAAUUGCAAGACUGGUAAGUGGAGCUCCUGCAAGAGACAGCAAAUUCUGAAGAUGAUCAGAAAAUAGAUUAUUAACACAUGGCAAUGCAUACAUUAAAAAGAAGAAAAGAAAUUCUGCUGGUUAUAUUCAUGUGUACUGUCAAUGCUUCAUAACAGUCACCUAAAAUAAUAUUUCUAGGAUCAUUAAUUUGAAUUACUUUGGACAAAAUAAUGCACUACACCAUUUACAGUUCAUCACUAUAAUGUAAAGACAACUUUACAAGAGAACUGCACAAGCCAUAAUCCAAUAGACAAAUUUAUAGACUUGUUUUUUUCACAUUAGAAGCAAACUAACUAUGAACAUGAAAUGUUUUCUAAUUUUAGUUUCUCUACUGCAGGCAAAUGAAACAAACUGCUGAGAAGGUAAUGAAAACAGAUUACUUAAUGGUGAAAAAUUUGAGUGCCAUUCUUUUUCUACCAGUGGUGCCACUGCUGGAAUUUAAUGGAGUGGCACCAGUGUGUCUGAAUGAAGAUUUUGAUCCCAGCUGUUUAAAAAUAGGGUUGAAUCUAAUAAGAUUUCCUCAGUACUGAUAGCUUUUUUUCCUCCUACACUGGGAGCAGGAAGAUAGAACUCAUUAUUAACACCAAGAAAGUGGAAUUUCAUCCCAGUUUCAAACUUCCUGCUCUAGUUCCAUGAUGAUUUGUUUCAGAUGUUCUUAUCUUCAUGUUAAGUCAAACAAAUUUAACUUCCUAGCUUUUUUGGAACCUUAAGGGAGAAAAUUUCAGCCCAGCAAUAAAGAUAAUGUGCUUUAAAUGACUAAGGAUCAUUGAAGCUUUUUUUUUAAACUUUUCAUGUGAAAGUCAUCUCUCUCCUACCCCUUUAUAAAAGCCCAGGUAAGUUCAGGAGGUAUUCCAGGAGGAAAAAAAAAAAGAGCAACAGACAUGCUAUGAAAUAGACAGAUGGAGCUGCAUCAGGUUUUACAUCAAUUACAGUAAGUUCUUGGAUUUAGUGCAAGAGCUUUCUUAGUUUAUGUCCUUCAAUUUCUGCAUACUUUUGGCAAUGCAGAAGUUGUUUAUUACACCAACCAUGACUGCUUGGCCUAUUAGGACGCAGUGAGAAUUAGGCUGAGUGUAAAGACAAAAGCAUGGUAUUCCAAUGGGUUUAAAUUACUGUGCAAAGAAGGUCUGGUGCACUGUCUUCUGAAUUUAGACUACUAAAGACAAGUUUGUAUUAGUGCCCUAGUGUGGAAUAAAAAUAAAAAACAAUUUUAUGGGUGAUUUUGAAAAUACCAUUCUUUCUUUCUGCAUUGCCUCAUAGAAACACAGUUUCUAAAAUGUUCCACAAUGUAAAGUAAACAUGUGAGCUGUGUCUGAACUGUAUGGAUUUUACUUUAUGCUUUCUCGUAAUUACUUAAUUCUCAGUAACCAUUUAUAUUAGUUUAAGCAUGUAGUAUUUUGUUUCAACCUAUGUUAUUGUUUCUUAACAAAAUUUGUCUUAUGCUUUUGA
Long non-coding RNA from Taeniopygia guttata (zebra finch), 5609 nucleotides. The record is from Ensembl. Lineage: Eukaryota; Metazoa; Chordata; Aves; Passeriformes; Estrildidae.